UGCCACCCAGCCUGCUCCCGUGAA
Molecule: unclassified non-coding RNA, 24 nt
Filed under: Mus musculus (house mouse)
Lineage: Eukaryota; Metazoa; Chordata; Mammalia; Rodentia; Muridae
Description: oocyte_clustered_small_RNA13779
Source: RNAcentral